GGAUUUCAAGGAAUCAAGCAAGUAAAUGUGGUGAGCCAUUUGAUAAGGGUAAAGAUAUUGUGCUCGAGGACCAAGAAUAGGAGUGUUCCAUACUCCUGCUACUGUGACUUACUGCAGUGGGCGAGUUUCCAUGGACCAGCCUAU
Theobroma cacao (cacao) is the source of this 144-nucleotide non-coding RNA. The record is from RefSeq and is a predicted model, not a curated record. NCBI's taxonomy places the organism in Eukaryota, Viridiplantae, Streptophyta, Magnoliopsida, Malvales, Malvaceae.